RNAcentral lists this ribosomal RNA (322 nucleotides) under uncultured eukaryote. RNAcentral describes it as "partial 18S ribosomal RNA". It matches the Rfam family "Eukaryotic small subunit ribosomal RNA", at positions 1470 to 1796 of the family's 1831-position model. The record is from RNAcentral.
CCCCUAGAUGUUCUGGGCCGCACGCGCGCUACACUGAACAGUUCAACAAGUCUUAACCUUGGCCGAUAGGUCUGGGUAAUCUUUGAACGCUGUUCGUGAUUGGGAUAGACCUUUGCAAUUAUGGGUCUUCAACGAGGAAUUCCUAGUAAACGCAAGUCAUCAGCUUGCAUUGAUUACGUCCCUGCCCUUUGUACACACCGCCCGUCGCUCCUACCGAUUGAAUGUUCCGGUGAAUACUUCGGACUGCGAGAUUUGCAGUCUCUGCGCUUCUUGCGGAAAGUUGAAUAAACCUUAACAUUUAGAGGAAGGAGAAGUCGUAACA